Molecule: long non-coding RNA, 298 nt
Organism: Erinaceus europaeus (western European hedgehog)
Lineage: Eukaryota; Metazoa; Chordata; Mammalia; Eulipotyphla; Erinaceidae
Exons: 3
Source: RefSeq, a predicted model, not a curated record
GGCUGUGUCAAUUUCCAUUACCACCAAUAGUGUAUCAGGAUUCCCUUUUCUCUGCAUCCUCUCGAACACUUGUUAUCUCUUGAUUUGUUGGCAUAGGCCAUUCUCACAGUGCCUCUUGUUGGACAGCAACAGAGAAGAAGAACACGAGAAGGCUGUGUCCCCACAUCAUGCCGGGCUUGGAAGACGCAGACCUCGAAACACUACCGGGUUCCAGAUGCCAGCAGGAUGCUGACCAGACUUCCCUGGACUGAAGACCCCACCAAUGUGUCCUGGAGCUCCGCUUCCUCAGAGACCCACC